This 190-nucleotide ribosomal RNA is filed under the name uncultured Bacillus sp. RNAcentral's name for it is "partial 16S ribosomal RNA". It matches the Rfam family "Bacterial small subunit ribosomal RNA", at positions 1196 to 1382 of the family's 1533-position model. Lineage: Bacteria; Bacillati; Bacillota; Bacilli; Caryophanales; Bacillaceae. The record is from RNAcentral.
AUGCCCUUAUGUUCUGGGCUACACACGUGCUACAAUGGCCGGUACAGACGGACGCAAAGCCGCGAGGUGGAGCAAAUCCUAAAAAGGCCGGUCUCAGUUCGGAAUUGCAGGCUGCGAAUUCGCCUGCAUGAAGUCGGAAUCGCUAGUAAUCGCAGGUCAGCAUACUGCGGUGAAUACGUUCCCGGGCCUU